Molecule: transfer RNA, 73 nt
Organism: Camelus ferus (Wild Bactrian camel)
Lineage: Eukaryota; Metazoa; Chordata; Mammalia; Artiodactyla; Camelidae
Rfam family: tRNA
About the family: Transfer RNA (tRNA) molecules are approximately 80 nucleotides in length. Their secondary structure includes four short double-helical elements and three loops (D, anti-codon, and T loops).
Source: Rfam
GAGGGUGUAGCUCAAGUGGUAGAGCGCAUGCUUAGUAUGUACGAGGUCCUGGGUUUAAUCCCCAGCACCUCCA